UACGUAGGGGGCUAGCGUUGUCCGGAAUCAUUGGGCGUAAAGCGCGUGUAGGCGGUUCGGUAAGUCCGCUGUGAAAGUCGGGGGCUCAACCCUCGGAUGCCGGUGGAUACUGUCGGACUAGAGUACGGAAGAGGCGAGUGGAAUUCCUGGUGUAGCGGUGAAAUGCGCAGAUAUCAGGAGGAACACCGAUUGCGAAGGCAGGUCUCUGGGCAUUAACUGACGCUGAGGAGCGAAAGCAUGGGGAGCGAACAGG
RNAcentral lists this ribosomal RNA (253 nucleotides) under uncultured bacterium. RNAcentral's name for it is "partial 16S ribosomal RNA". It matches the Rfam family "Bacterial small subunit ribosomal RNA", at positions 524 to 776 of the family's 1533-position model. The record is from RNAcentral.